Non-coding RNA from Phascolarctos cinereus (koala), 3151 nucleotides. The record is from RefSeq and is a predicted model, not a curated record. Lineage: Eukaryota; Metazoa; Chordata; Mammalia; Diprotodontia; Phascolarctidae.
AACACACAAAAAAAAAAAGUAUGUAUGAUGCUGCAACAAAAUAGUGAGCAAAACUCACUAACCUUGUGCUGACCAUUUCUUUAUUCACUUGGAAAAUCAUCAAGAUAGUGAAUGAAUUUUGCAGUUGUUUAAAAAGAAUUACAAAAUUGAAGAAUCAAAAUGUCAGAGAUGAAAGAGACCUCACUAGCCACCUAGUCGUACCUGAAAAUGAAUCUGCUCUCCACAUGCCCAGGAAGUGGUCAGCCAGUCUCUGCUCUCAGAAAUCAGGGGAAAUAAACCAACAUGGUGUCAGAGAGCAGGAACUCAGGUCUUCCCAAGCAGAGCCCUGGAAGUCUUCUCCCAACAGCCUUUUGGUCAACAGUCAAUGGCAUGAACUGAUGACUACACAGAGGUGGUAGACCAAGGAAAUUUGGAGGAUUCCUCAUUCAGCGCAGAAAAAGGAUCCCAGAGCAGAGAAUACUCCACGGAAUUGGAACAGUGCUGUCAGGCUUAUGAAAAUAAAUUCCCCUGGAAACCUGGCCGAACACCUGGAUUAGCACCAGGGUCACCAAGGGAAAAGGCUGGAGAGGAAAGAACAUACAUGAGUUGGACAGAAGGGGUAACCUGGACAAAGUGGGGCUAAGUAACUAUGAAAUACAUAAAAGAGCACAUCAGUCUUUGUAGACAGCUCUUUCUUCAGCUGAAGUGGUUCUCUUUACAUCUUUAGAAUUUUGUUCUUGAGAACAUCCCAUCCUUCUUGGGCUGACUGACCCUAUACCUUUUUGUCUAUUGGCUCUUCGCUAUCUGUUCUCUGAACCCCUUGAAAUUUGUUCUCUCCAAAUCUAGGAUGCCUACAAGGCUUUGCUUUUCUUCUCCAUCGCAAAGUUUAAGAGAGUGGUCACUCUCACCCAAAGUUCCCAUGAACCAGUUCUAUGCUAUUAACCAGAUCUUCCUUUCCGGUAAGAGUCAAAUUCAAAACAAAAUUCCCAUACAUUGGUUAUUCUACUUUUUAAAGGAUGAAAAUAUUAUUAAAGAAUGUCAGAAAUUACUAGCUGCUCUUCUUUUGACAGAGAAAGAGCGCCAGCAGAUGUCCAGAUAAUUGAAGCCCACAUCCAUCACUACUAUAUCAUUCCAGGAUUAUAAUAUGGCAACCAUAUGUGCUAGGUAUAGGGACAAUCUACUUUGGGCUGCAGACUCUAAGGCAGGUCUCUUUUUAUCAUUACCCAGAAAUCCUGAACAAAGCUUCAUACUCUGAAAAAAGCUAAACAAAAAUAACAUUUCCUUGAAGGGAUGGGGAAAAUCCAUAGCCACAUUCUGCAAGCAUAAGAUUACCUACAAGAAACUGAAGAUUCCUAUGGUUUGAGGUUGGAAAGGCAAAGAAGGUAAAUACAGGAUGAAUGAAUGGACUUAGUUUCUUAGAGACUAGAAAAAUCUCUAUUCUGCUCCUCACUAGUCCUACUAUCACACACAAGUCACUUCCUCAGUCUGGGCCUCAAUUCUCUUAUCUGUAAAAGGAGAGGUUGGACUAGAUGAUCCUUCAGGCCCUUCCACUAAAAAAUCUAUGAUCCUAUAGAUAGAUGUCUAGAUCAAUAUAGUUCGAAGAAGUCAUCGUUAUGAUGAUGUCAGAGGGACAAGGAAAGAGAAAAAGGAGCAAUAAAAAAGAAUGGAAGAAACAAAUGAGACCAAGGCUGAAGGAAAGCCUGCGUGGCUCUCCCUGGAACAUUGGUUUUCAGCAGCAAUCCCGUCCUGGCUAAAUCAUCUCUAUGGUUUUCAGGGCUUUGGAGAGAAUCCUGCUUCUCUUCCCCAAGGAUGAAUAGUGGAAAGCAAUUCUGGAGUGAUUGGUCCUCAGUGGUGGGCUCUUGGUUAUUGGAAAGAAGAGGCAAGGAUCCUGAAUCAUUGUCAAUUCUUUAAAUGGAACAAAUACAUCAGUAAAUAAAUUCGAAUUAAAACCCAAAUGUAUGCACAGGAGUACAGACACACAGAAAAAGGGAGAGACAGAGAUGGAAGGAAUUAUAUAUGUGCAUGUAUUAUACAUACGACACACAAACACACACAAAGAAAAAAAGAAACAGUGAUACAGAACUAACAGUGGAAUUACGCAAAUAAGGAAAAACCUCUUCUUUCUUCCCUUCAAAGAAUCAAAAAAAAAAAGGCCCACAUAAAUUCUCUGCAUUCUUCAGUAUUCUAAAAUGGUCAAACUUAGCUGACACCUCUGUCUGGGGCACCCUUUCCUCCAUGAUCCUACAGGCUCCAGGCAUGGCUGCUCCUCAUUGGGCUUCACCUCCAUCACAGCCCCACCUGCUCUGACGCUGACAUUUCUUCAUUAUUCCUCUGCUUCUCUGGGGACUCACGUAUUUUAAUCCUUCAUGCUACAGGAAUAAUCCAGGCCAUUGGCUGUGACAAAUUCUGGAAGGCAAGAGCAGGUGUUAGGAUUAGACUUUGUGGCAGAGUGGCUGCAGUGUGCCAGAACAGAGGAAAGCUUCCCACUCUCACUGAAGCCUGGUAAAAAAGAGAGGAGGAGAAGGAAAAGAAGAGAACUAGGAAGCAGAAAAUGUCAUCAUUGCAUUUGGCAAGCUGGAGAGAAGCUCGCUCAGAUUUCCACACUGAUGGUUUGGAAAGUGAGAGCCUUUGGGAUUUCCUGGAAUACAAACAGUUCUGAGGACUGACCUCUCAAAUAGUAUCUAAGUGUCCAGGAUCCCUGGCUGCCCUUCUAUCAAUGUUGAUUAAUAUGCUUAAAAUCCUUCUCACAUUCAUAGUUUAUGACCAUAAUUUCUCUCAAGCCUAAAUUCUCUAAAUGCCACGUAAACUCUACCAGAAGACUUUAUCCUUUUCAUUAAUUUUUAGAGUUUCUCUGGAUGAAUUUAUAUAGAAUAAGGUCUCUCCCCUAGCCAAAGCAUUAUGAUAUACCCCUCCAGUAUGAAUUCUGUGAUCAGAAGCAAAGGAUGACCUGCAAAGGCCUUCUGAAAUGAGGCCUCAUAUAACUCCUCUCCAGGAUGAAGACUCUUCUCUGAUGUUCAGUAAGCCCCAUGCUCUGGUGGGUCUUCGCACUUUUAUUAUGUUUUCUCUGUGGUAUGAAUUUUGUAAUAUUGAGGAAGAUGUAAGAUCUUGUGAAAGAUCUUCCCACAUGUGUAAAACUUCAGAGCAAAUAAACACAUUCUCAUUUUGGUUUUAA